Brassica napus (rape) is the source of this 2182-nucleotide long non-coding RNA. RefSeq lists it as uncharacterized. NCBI's taxonomy places the organism in Eukaryota, Viridiplantae, Streptophyta, Magnoliopsida, Brassicales, Brassicaceae. The record is from RefSeq and is a predicted model, not a curated record. The transcript has 2 exons.
AUAUAUUUGUUAACAUAUGCACAAAUUUAUUAAUUAUGAUGAAGUCCUUUUAGCAAAAAAAAAACUUAUGAUGAAGUUGAUUAAUAUUGAAUUUUCUAGAACACGUUUUGAUCUUUUAAAACUACUUGUGUUUGCUUUUGUAUUGUUCAAAGUUAGGUUUCCUUCAUCGAUUUGGUAUGUUCAUUAUGCUUACUCUAAUUAGCGCCGUAUACGGAAAGUGGAGGCAUAAAGUUAUACGCUUGAUCUCUUGCAUUUUAAGAACCUUACCAUUCUUCGAAAAGGGUGCAUUAACCAAUGGCGAAGAGAAACACUUUUAUUAAUCGGAGAGUGGAGACACAUCGAGUGGAAAAUUGAGGGAGAGUUUUUUUGUUUAUUGGUAUUGAGGAGUUGGGAAAUAGCGGUUAACUUUUCAAUUAAGCUAGAGCCCUUUUCAUUCUUUUACUGCCUUUGUUCAAACAGAUGCAACAACGUUUUGUAUGUCCGAGGUGUGCCAGAAUAUGAAGUAGAAUUCGGAGACGCUGAACAAGACUAGCCUGUGCCCGUGGACUUAGAAAUCGUCAGUUUUGUUGUAUUCUAUGAGCAUCUUAACCCAACUUGUGAGAUUUCAGCUUUGCUGUUGUUGAAUCGUUUGAUACCUCGAAACUAAAGAAGGCCGCAAGCCCUUUACUUCUUUGAGAAACCAAACUCCAUGCCGGUUUUCCGGGAGGGAAUGCUUGUCGUUUCUAACCAUCAUUUCCAGGCCCCCAAAUUGCGGCCCAAAACACAUUUGAGUAAAGCUGGCCACAUUCAGAGAAACUAAAUGACCCAUUUCGAUUAGUGCUAAAAACCCACGUGCUACUUUAGCCAUGACGAAUAUAGUAUUGUAGAAAAUAGUUUACAGUAUAUAAUUAAAUUCUACUGUCUACUUGUUAUUGAAAAAGUUAAGGUUAAAUAAAAAGGAAAAAUUGUUUGAGUUGAAUUUUGUUUUCAAUUUUACAAGGUCAAGAAAAACUACGGCCGUUGAGUAAGAAGAGUUCACAUUUCAACUCUUUAAUUGUUCCAAGUCAAAAUAUAUGGAUAUUUCGUAUAUUUCUAAGGACUACAUCAUAUUGUAAUGAAUGUUUACACUUUAAUAAAUCAAUUUUAAAGAACAAGAAGAAAUAACAUAACGCUGAAAAGAUUAUUCUUGGAACUAAGAUAAGUUUGGAGAAGUAAGAGGGGUAUUGCCGACGAUCAAAAUAUCAUUACUGUUGGUGAAUAAAGAGGUUAUUUGUGAGAUAGCUAAAAAAAAGGAAAAUUGGUUUUGUAGAAAGAAGGUAGAGAGAGAUAUGAGGAGAGAAAAAAUGUGAGAGAGUGUAUUUUGGUUAGUAAGUGAAUUUUGGAUUUUUUUGAUGUUAUACCAUGCAAUUUUCCUAAAAUAAAAAAUAACGAAAAUGGUAGUUUUUUUUUUGUCAACAAAAUGGUGGUACUACUAGCUACCAUGUCAAUGAACGCCGAUGAUCGGUUCCUAUAACGUGGCAUAUUUUCGUUUAUGAAAUUCAUAAUCCCUUAUUUAUUACACUUUAAUAGUUUUGCGAAGAUUAGUAAUUUCUGUAGCCUGACUUAAUAGUAAUAAAAAGACUAAUUUAUGAGGUGGAGAGAAACACACAACAAGAAGAGAAGAAAAAAGUAGUUGAAAGAGGAAGAGAAACAUCAUGUUUGUUUAUUGUUGGAAAGUGGAUCCUCCACCAACUUAAUUUCGCACGUAUCAAUGUAACUCACAUCACGUGCUAUUAUAUCUUCAACUACAUGCUCCCAGCUCACCACCUACCAUACCAUCCCAUCCCAUUCCAUUCAUCUCAACUACCAAAAAGCACUUCCGAACCAGCUAGAAGGUUUCAAGUGGCAUGUCUUGACGAUGACAACAAUUAACCUUUUUUGAAAAAAAAUUCAGUGUGCUAUAUGCAUGUGUUAGUAGUAUAGGCACGUGUAUUUUCAAGAAUAUAUCAUGCAAAUAGCAGAUCAUGUAAGUUCUCAUACAUGUAUGGUGUGCCACCUGCGCUAUAUAUAUUAUGCCAAAUUGAUUUCAAACAAGCUUAUUGAGCAAUCUAUAAGAACAUAGAGAUUGUAUUUGUCCAAAAUGUUGCUGCUACCUAUGUUACAUGGAAACGGAAGCGGGUACGCGGAAGCGGAAGCGUAUAGAAGCGCAAAAGCGAGAUUUUUU